Long non-coding RNA from Camarhynchus parvulus, 315 nucleotides. NCBI's taxonomy places the organism in Eukaryota, Metazoa, Chordata, Aves, Passeriformes, Thraupidae. The record is from Ensembl.
CAGUGCUGGGGUACACUUGGACUCGAUGAUCUUAGAGGGCUUUUCCAACCUGAAUAAUUCUGUGAUUUCUUCUAGAAUUUUAUUUCUGUAUGAAGUCUCCUCUGAUAAAUAUCCCCAACAGUGAUUUCAGACAAACACCCUAAAAUGGCUACAUCAGUGUUCCUCCUGCAGAGCAGUCAGAAGAGACACUCACAAAUAUACCCAGGAAAUGCACCUUGCUCUUCUCUUCCUGUCUUCUACUGUGGGACCGUCAUUUUAUCCACGUGUGGGAAUUUCCAUUACUGCUGGGGGAAAGGGACUUCUCCUCCUGAGUGA